AGUAAAAUCUGCUCUAUGAAAAUUAAAUGGCCGCAGAAUUUUUACUGUGCUAAGGUAGCAUAAUCAUUUACCUUUUAAUUAAAGGUUUGUAUGAAAGAUUUAACAUUUAAAUUACUUUUUUAUUUAAAUAUUUUUAAAUUUUAAUUAAAUAUAAAAAUGUAUUUAUUUUUUAAAAAGACGAUAAGACCCUAUUGAACUUUACUAUUGUUAAGCUGGGGAAGCUAGUUAAAUAUAAUUUUAAUUUUUAAUAUUAAAAAUAUUUCUAAUAAAAUUAAGCAUAAAAGUUACCAUAGGGAUAACAGCGUUAUACUAUUUUAAAGAUCAUAUUAAAAAUAUUGUUUACGACCUCGAUGUUGAAUUAAAAUUCCUUAAAAACGCAAUAGUAAAAGAGGAGGUCUGU
RNAcentral lists this ribosomal RNA (400 nucleotides) under Solenysa macrodonta. RNAcentral's name for it is "partial large subunit ribosomal RNA". Lineage: Eukaryota; Metazoa; Arthropoda; Arachnida; Araneae; Linyphiidae. The record is from RNAcentral.